Molecule: ribosomal RNA, 478 nt
Filed under: uncultured bacterium
Lineage: Bacteria
Description: partial 16S ribosomal RNA
Rfam family: Bacterial small subunit ribosomal RNA
Source: RNAcentral
GAUGAACGCUGCCGGCGUGCUUAACACAUGCAAGUCGAACGAGAAGUGAAGACGGAAACCUUCGGGCGGAAGGCUUUAUUUCGAGUGGCGGACGGGUGAGUAACGCGUGGGUAACCUGCCUCAUACAGGGGGAUAACAGUUGGAAACGACUGUUAAUACCGCAUAAGACCACAGCACCGCAUGGUGCGGGGGUAAAAACUCCGGUGGUAUGAGAUGGACCCGCGUUCGAUUAGCCAGUUGGCGGGGUAACGGCCCACCAAAGCGACGAUCGAUAGCCGAUCUGAGAGGAUGACCGGCCACAUUGGGACUGAGACACGGCCCAAACUCCUACGGGAGGCAGCAGUGGGGAAUAUUGCACAAUGGGGGAAACCCUGAUGCAGCGACGCCGCGUGAGUGAAGAAGUAUUUCGGUAUGUAAAGCUCUAUCAGCAGGGAAGAAAAUGACGGUACCUGAGUAAGAAGCCCCGGCUAACUACGUG